CUGGUUGAUCCUGCCAGUAGUCAUAUGCUUGUCUUAAAGAUUAAGCCAUGCAUGUCUAAGUGCAAGCUCAAGCAAAGUGGAACCGCGAAUGGCUCAUUAAAUCAGUUAUGGUUCAUUCGAUAGAUGCCGUUACAUGGAUAACCCUGGGAAAUCUAGAGCUAAUACAUGUCACCCGCUCCGACCUCGCGGAACGAGCGCAUUUGUCAGACUAAAAACCAAUCGGGCCUCGGUCCGUUCAGUGGUGAAUCAUGGCAAACCGUCACGCUGACCGCGCGGUCUAGAACCGGCGGUGUGUCGUUCGAAUGUCUGCCUUAUCAACUUUCGAUGGUAGGUUAAGUGCCUACCAUGGUUAUAACGGGUAACGGGGAAUCAGGGUUCGAUUCCGGAGAGGGAGCCUGAGAAACGGCUACCACUUCUACGGAAGGCAGCAGGCACGCAAAUUACCCACUCCCGGCUCGGGGAGGUAGUGACAAGAAAUAACAAUACGGGACUCGAAACGAGGCCUCGUAAUUGGAAUGAGUACACUUUAAAUCCUUUAACGAGGAUCUAUUGGAGGGCAAGUCUGGU
RNAcentral lists this ribosomal RNA (567 nucleotides) under uncultured eukaryote. RNAcentral describes it as "SSU rRNA". It matches the Rfam family "Eukaryotic small subunit ribosomal RNA", at positions 4 to 565 of the family's 1831-position model. The record is from RNAcentral.